GGGUUGUGAGGUUAAGCGACUAAGCGUACACGGUGGAUGCCCUGGCAGUCAGAGGCGAUGAAGGACGUGCUAAUCUGCGAUAAGCGUCGGUAAGGUGAUAUGAACCGUUAUAACCGGCGAUUUCCGAAUGGGGAAACCCAGUGUGAUUCGUCACACUAUCAUUAACUGAAUCCAUAGGUUAAUGAGGCGAACCGGGGGAACUGAAACAUCUAAGUACCCCGAGGAAAAGAAAUCAACCGAGAUUCCCCCAGUAGCGGCGAGCGAACGGGGAGCAGCCCAGAGCCUGAAUCAGUGUGUGUGUUAGUGGAAGCGUCUGGAAAGGCGCGCGAUACAGGGUGACAGCCCCGUACACAAAAAUGCACAUGCUGUGAGCUCGAUGAGUAGGGCGGGACACGUGGUAUCCUGUCUGAAUAUGGGGGGACCAUCCUCCAAGGCUAAAUACUCCUGACUGACCGAUAGUGAACCAGUACCGUGAGGGAAAGGCGAAAAGAACCCCGGCGAGGGGAGUGAAAAAGAACCUGAAACCGUGUACGUACAAGCAGUGGGAGCACAGAGCAAUCUGUGUGACUGCGUACCUUUUGUAUAAUGGGUCAGCGACUUAUAUUCUGUAGCAAGGUUAACCGAAUAGGGGAGCCGAAGGGAAACCGAGUCUUAACUGGGCGUUAAGUUGCAGGGUAUAGACCCGAAACCCGGUGAUCUAGCCAUGGGCAGGUUGAAGGUUGGGUAACACUAACUGGAGGACCGAACCGACUAAUGUUGAAAAAUUAGCGGAUGACUUGUGGCUGGGGGUGAAAGGCCAAUCAAACCGGGAGAUAGCUGGUUCUCCCCGAAAGCUAUUUAGGUAGCGCCUCGUGAAUUCAUCUCCGGGGGUAGAGCACUGUUUCGGCAAGGGGGUCAUCCCGACUUACCAACCCGAUGCAAACUGCGAAUACCGGAGAAUGUUAUCACGGGAGACACACGGCGGGUGCUAACGUCCGUCGUGAAGAGGGAAACAACCCAGACCGCCAGCUAAGGUCCCAAAGUCAUGGUUAAGUGGGAAACGAUGUGGGAAGGCCCAGACAGCCAGGAUGUUGGCUUAGAAGCAGCCAUCAUUUAAAGAAAGCGUAAUAGCUCACUGGUCGAGUCGGCCUGCGCGGAAGAUGUAACGGGGCUAAACCAUGCACCGAAGCUGCGGCAGCGACGCUUAUGCGUUGUUGGGUAGGGGAGCGUUCUGUAAGCCUGUGAAGGUGUACUGUGAGGUAUGCUGGAGGUAUCAGAAGUGCGAAUGCUGACAUAAGUAACGAUAAAGCGGGUGAAAAGCCCGCUCGCCGGAAGACCAAGGGUUCCUGUCCAACGUUAAUCGGGGCAGGGUGAGUCGACCCCUAAGGCGAGGCCGAAAGGCGUAGUCGAUGGGAAACAGGUUAAUAUUCCUGUACUUGGUGUUACUGCGAAGGGGGGACGGAGAAGGCUAUGUUGGCCGGGCGACGGUUGUCCCGGUUUAAGCGUGUAGGCUGGUUUUCCAGGCAAAUCCGGAAAAUCAAGGCUGAGGCGUGAUGACGAGGCACUACGGUGCUGAAGCAACAAAUGCCCUGCUUCCAGGAAAAGCCUCUAAGCAUCAGGUAACAUCAAAUCGUACCCCAAACCGACACAGGUGGUCAGGUAGAGAAUACCAAGGCGCUUGAGAGAACUCGGGUGAAGGAACUAGGCAAAAUGGUGCCGUAACUUCGGGAGAAGGCACGCUGAUAUGUAGGUGAAGUCCCUCGCGGAUGGAGCUGAAAUCAGUCGAAGAUACCAGCUGGCUGCAACUGUUUAUUAAAAACACAGCACUGUGCAAACACGAAAGUGGACGUAUACGGUGUGACGCCUGCCCGGUGCCGGAAGGUUAAUUGAUGGGGUUAGCGCAAGCGAAGCUCUUGAUCGAAGCCCCGGUAAACGGCGGCCGUAACUAUAACGGUCCUAAGGUAGCGAAAUUCCUUGUCGGGUAAGUUCCGACCUGCACGAAUGGCGUAAUGAUGGCCAGGCUGUCUCCACCCGAGACUCAGUGAAAUUGAACUCGCUGUGAAGAUGCAGUGUACCCGCGGCAAGACGGAAAGACCCCGUGAACCUUUACUAUAGCUUGACACUGAACAUUGAGCCUUGAUGUGUAGGAUAGGUGGGAGGCUUUGAAGUGUGGACGCCAGUCUGCAUGGAGCCGACCUUGAAAUACCACCCUUUAAUGUUUGAUGUUCUAACGUUGACCCGUAAUCCGGGUUGCGGACAGUGUCUGGUGGGUAGUUUGACUGGGGCGGUCUCCUCCUAAAGAGUAACGGAGGAGCACGAAGGUUGGCUAAUCCUGGUCGGACAUCAGGAGGUUAGUGCAAUGGCAUAAGCCAGCUUGACUGCGAGCGUGACGGCGCGAGCAGGUGCGAAAGCAGGUCAUAGUGAUCCGGUGGUUCUGAAUGGAAGGGCCAUCGCUCAACGGAUAAAAGGUACUCCGGGGAUAACAGGCUGAUACCGCCCAAGAGUUCAUAUCGACGGCGGUGUUUGGCACCUCGAUGUCGGCUCAUCACAUCCUGGGGCUGAAGUAGGUCCCAAGGGUAUGGCUGUUCGCCAUUUAAAGUGGUACGCGAGCUGGGUUUAGAACGUCGUGAGACAGUUCGGUCCCUAUCUGCCGUGGGCGCUGGAGAACUGAGGGGGGCUGCUCCUAGUACGAGAGGACCGGAGUGGACGCAUCACUGGUGUUCGGGUUGUCAUGCCAAUGGCACUGCCCGGUAGCUAAAUGCGGAAGAGAUAAGUGCUGAAAGCAUCUAAGCACGAAACUUGCCCCGAGAUGAGUUCUCCCUGACUCCUUGAGAGUCCUGAAGGAACGUUGAAGACGACGACGUUGAUAGGCCGGGUGUGUAAGCGCAGCGAUGCGUUGAGCUAACCGGUACUAAUGAACCGUGAGGCUUAACCUUACAACGCCGAAG
This 2927-nucleotide ribosomal RNA is filed under the name Escherichia coli. RNAcentral describes it as "partial 23S ribosomal RNA". It matches the Rfam family "Bacterial large subunit ribosomal RNA". The record is from RNAcentral. Lineage: Bacteria; Pseudomonadati; Pseudomonadota; Gammaproteobacteria; Enterobacterales; Enterobacteriaceae.